UAUAUCUCUUCCACCCUCUAAAAUUUUGGUAUUUUUAGUUUCUCUCUCUAGGAAAAAAAGAAAAAUUUUUGGUUCGACGCAGAAUGCGACUGCCACCGACGCCAUGUUAGUACGUUUUUGACUUCCUUCUCAGAUCAAUUCAGUUUCAGCUCACUUGACAUAUCUGCUUCUCGGCAUGUCAAUGCAAAUUAUUGAUCAAUGCCCGGUAGAACCAUGCUAAUGUAGUUUUUAUUGAGAAUCUGGGAUUUGGGUGCUGAAGAGGCUUUCUUAUUACUAAUGGGUGUGGGCUAUUUAGCAAUUUCAGCAGCGUUCACAGCCCUGAGCUUCGUGGGUCUACAAUGUUGGACAGAGUUGUCGGUAGACAAACUAAAAGCAGAUGGUUUAAUUAGCGAUAAUUUUAUUAGCCAUGAGAAUGCGAACCGUGCUCUUGAGUUGCUGCUGGGUUCUUAUGCCACUGUUGCGCUGCUGGCAAAUUUUGUAUUUAAUGCAUUCAUUCUAAUCAAUCUUUGUCUUAAGACUAUUUUCUUUGUGGAAUUAUACCCUUCUGAAACUCGAAAACUUGUGGAACGUCUUAUUAAUUAUGUUAUUUACAAGGGGACAUUUCUGCCAUUGGUUAUUCCUGGAACAAUAUUUCAAGCAGGAUUGUGGUCGAUCUGGUUGACUGUUCUCUGUUCUUUAAAGAUGUUUCAAGUUUUGGCUAGAGAUCGACUUGAACGUCUGAAUGCAUCUCCUUCUGCAUUGCCAUGGACUUAUUUUCGUGUGUAUUCAGCACUGUUAUUGGUCCUCUUUGUUGACUUCUUCUGGUAGUCUCUGGAAUCUCUAUCUUUUAUUGAUAAAUGUGAUUUAGGAACUGGCAUUGCGAUUGCAUUGUUUCUGUGAUAUUAACAGUCAAACUGAAUGAGAAACACUAAACCUAAUUGUGUGAAAUGUAUGAAGGGUGUUAGUAUUUCUUCCAGAGAAAAAUAAUAUUUGGCUUUGGUAUAAACUAGAGAGUUAAUGUGUAUUUCUUUAGUAGAAACUAAAUUCUUAUUCAGCAGGUGUUAGAAACUAGAAAGCGGGAGCACUACAGAAAAUUGUUUUUAAUAAGAAAAAAGCAAGUUCUUUGUUCUUGUGUCUAUGGAAAUUGUAUCUUUCUAGAUUAGUGGUGAUGUGUACGGAUUCAAUAUAAGCAAUUGUGGUAGCUGUGAUGGGGCUGAGAAUGGAGACAGACAAUGAGAAUAGCAAGUUUAGAACUGGUUUGUUUGUUUUAAACAUCAGUCUUAAAUUCUGAGGAGCCUAAACAGGAGUUGAUCUCCUACCAGCUACAUAACUUUUUAAUUCUACAGGUCCAAAAGGGAAUGCUGCUUCACAAUCACGAAAGACUUGCAUUUUGCAGACAGGAUGGAGAUUGUUUAACUUAUUUUUCUCCUUUAAAUCUUGUUUUUAUUUUCCUGUUUUAACUGAUAUUCAAAUUUUUAAUUUCUGCAUGAAUUCAGAUAGCAAUAGCAUUAAAAAUAUUUCUUUAUGCAUGUUUUGGUGGUUACAGGAUAAGGCUGUGUUUGGUGAUAUACAGAACACUGGGUUCAUCCAUGUUUCUAUUAUUGUUUUUUGAGCCGUUCAGUAUUGCAUUUGAGACUAUGCAGGCAAUGUUGGUACAUGGGUUUCAGUUGCUUGACAUUUGGCUCCAUCAUUCUGCUGGGAAUAGUACAAAUUGCCAAAGGUUCAAAUUUUUUGAUGCAAUAGCAGCAGGUAUUUUCUGAAAUUUUUGCUAUGGUGUGUGCAAGUGAUUAUCCUGAGCUGUAUGGGGGUAGCUUGUGGCAGUUAUGUGAAAAGUGGAAAGUUCACUGAAGUGCUAAGAUCUCGUAGAGCGUAUGUCUAAAGCACAAAAUGCAGGAGUAUUCCUAGGAAAAUAAAGCGUGUAUUUUAAAGAGGCGAUGCACAGUUAUUUGCAAGAGAAACAUUAAGAAUCUGCAAUAGGAAGCUAGAAUAUAGAGGGAGGGAGGGCCUUCUACUCUGCAGUUUAUGUACUUUAGAAGUGAUCUCAUUGCUUGGUCUUCAAGGUUUUUGAGACCUUAUCCAUUAAGAUAAUUGGAAAACAUGUGUAACAUAGUGGAUGCAAUAAGAAUGUCCAAGUAGUCAACAAUUAAUUUGUAACAAAUGUUGAUCAAGAGUUAAAUGCAUUUUAUGUUCACAUCCUAAUAAAAGACGACAAAGCCUUUUUAGCUUUCACCUAGCAGGUCAGCUAAAAGCAUGUUCUAUUGUGCUUUGGAACCUCAUUUAGUACUGCAGUUUGUGUGGCCAGAUGGACUUUUGGCCCCACACACCUACAGCCACAGUUGCGAAAGCAACCUAUUUGGUAAUGCAAGUAAACCUGCACUUGGGUCUACUGGCACCUAUGACCUAUCUGCGAUUGUGCGAAUCAAUCCUGCAAUUCAAAGCUGCAUUGUGAAAGCACUGUGUUGUGGCAAGCACACCCUUGCUCCAAAUGGUGCCUAGGAUGAUUUUGACAAUGUUGGUUGAUUUGAUUGGUAGUGCUUUUUUCUUCUUCUUCUUUCUUUUAAUAAUAUUUGCCAUGCUUUUAGUGGAAUUGAUGUGCUAGCGUCUUCUGAUUAAGGAGUGCUACUGCAGGUUCUUUGUCUGAGUGGAAAAACAUUCUUAUCCGGAAUUUAGGGUUUUCCCUUGACAUGGCAACUUUGUUGAUGGCACUUGGUCAUUACAUGCAUAUUUGGUGGCUUCAUGGUGUGGCAUUUCAUCUAGUGGAUGCAGUCCUUUUUUUAAAUACACGUGUAAUCAUCUUAUUCUGCUGGUUAAAGGGACCCUUUAGCAUCCUGUGCCUGGUUAUCAUUUACUCACUACAGUUUCAUGUCCUUUCUAUUCACGGAGCCUGUAAUUUUGUGCAGGCCUUGCUUAGUACUAUCAUAAAGCGUGUAAAAGGAUAUGCCAAACUAAGAAUAGCUUUAGGUGCUCUUCAUGCAGCACUUCCAGAUGCAACAUAUGAAGAGCUACGAGCAUAUGAUGAUGAAUGUGCUAUCUGCAGGGUACACUUAGGUUUUUCCUUCCUUUCCCUUCAGUUUUUCAUUGGAUCUAUGAAAUAUAAUGCAUUGGGCAAAUAACAGGAACCUAUGGCUAAGGCAAAGAAGCUACAUUGCAGUCACAUUUUUCAUCUUGCAUGCUUGAGAUCCUGGUUGGAUCAGGGUUUAAAUGAAAUGUAUUCAUGUCCCACUUGUCGAAAGCCGCUUUUUGUAGGCAGACCUGACAAUGAAGCAAAUCGUCAUGGUGGAGACAUUUUAUCUGACGAGCAGCUUGCUCGUCAAAUAAGUGAAGAGCUUGAUCAACAAACCACAUCUACUCUAUCUGCUGGAGUUUUACCAAAUCAGACUCAUAACUCUAUAGAAGGCCGCCCCUGGAGGUUCAAAUUCUUACUUGAUAUCAGAAUAGUCUCUUUUUUCUGCUGUUGGCCAAUGUUCACGUUACCUACCAAUAAUUUCUUUUUAAGGGUUAAAUUACAUUUGGAAAAGGCUACUUUGGGUUUUGGAAAAAGUACCAUUUUAGAUUUUUCUUUCUUUUUAUUUUUUUUUUCAAUAAAAAAGCAGUUGGAAACUAUUUUUGAUAUUAUUUUGUAAAUCUUAUGGCCAAAACAUCCAAAAUGCUUUUCAAAGGUAGCUUUUAGUUGCUUUUAAUAAAAAAAUUUUGAAGAGUGUUCUUUUCGCAACAACAAUUGCAACAAAACUGAAUAGAACUAUAUCUUGGGUGUACUCCUUUGCCAGAAGAGUUGAAAACUGGUAUAUUUGGGAUAAAUAUUAUACCUAUGCCUUAGCUGUCUGACUGCUGUUAUCCAUUGGAUAUUGUUAUGUUUGACUUGAUUUUAACCAAGCGUUCCUUAAGCCUCUUCUUGUUAUGUAAAUUCCUUACAUGUACAAUGUCUAUCUGCUUAGGAUGCAGACCAAAAUAAAGAUAUGAUGCCCUUCAGAUGCCUGGAAUGUUAUCUGGUUUAAAACAACUAAACAAAUCAUUUAAUCUUUCAUCAAAUCUUUUGAUAUUAAGUGAAUGGCAAGUUCUCAUUGCAUAAAAUGUGGUUCAAAGACCAAAUACCUCUCUCAAUCUCUCUCUUUGCCCACUGGUAUGGUCGUAAUAUUGUAAUAGGUCUUUGUUUUUGGUGGGUGGUCUAUAGAAGCGCAGGUUCGGAUUCAAGU
This 4172-nucleotide unclassified non-coding RNA is filed under the name Hevea brasiliensis (rubber tree). Lineage: Eukaryota; Viridiplantae; Streptophyta; Magnoliopsida; Malpighiales; Euphorbiaceae. The record is from RNAcentral.